GGUCGAUUGGUCUAGUGGUAUGAUUCUCGCUUAGGGCAUUACCCUAAGUACAAAAUGCGAGAGGCCCCGGAUUCGAAUUCCGGAUCGACCC
Molecule: non-coding RNA, 91 nt
Organism: Coniosporium apollinis CBS 100218
Lineage: Eukaryota; Fungi; Ascomycota; Dothideomycetes
Source: the annotation of a RefSeq genome assembly